UUAACAUUAGACCUUAUAUUAAAAAAAAAAAAUAAUCAGGCAAUAGAAAUUGAAAGAGGAUUUUAGGGUUUGAAAAAUGUGACCUCUGAGCUUUCAAACAGAUCUUCUUCAUCUUUCAUGAAGAACACACAACGGCGGCCGGAGGCGAGAUUCCACGAUUCACCUCGCCGUAAAUCCCAUAAUUCAACCCUUUCUCAACUCGGAUGAACGGUGUGGCCCAAGCUUCAUCUUUGGAGAACCUCUUCCGACCUUACUCUCCUCUUAUUCUUUUGAACGCGACGGCUUUUCAUCUCGGACAACAUUACGGCGCCGGAUAAGGAUCACUCUAGGACCGGAACCUCGCCUUCUCCGUCUCUUCUCCGUUCGUUCCUCAACCUACUCGCGGUGGCCGGUCUCUCUUUCUCUCACGACCUGCGGCGGCGCUUGGAAUCAAAACACGAGUCAUCAUCUCUAAUUGGAGCUCCCUCGCCAUGGUGACCAAAAAUGGAGCUAUCUUCUCUCUCUGAAUCAAAUUAAGUCUCAGUCUCUUCUCCUCGUCAAUCUCGAUCUUCGAUUGUAAUUCGUUCCCAAAUUGAAGAAGAGCAAGGUUGGUGAUGAUCGAUGGUGAUAUUGAUGAUACGACCUGCUGCAGAUGUAUGGUGUUGAUGAAGAGUGAUGAAGAUUCAGAAGGAGAAUAAGCUUUUUACAGGUCUUGUGAAGAGAAAGAGAUGAAGAGUGAUCGGAGAAAGCUUGAAGAUGCAUUGAGAAGGUUCUGUUGAAGGUUUUCUAGAAAUUGGAUAGGAGAUUGAAGAAUGAAUGGAGAGUGGAUAAUGAAGGUCAAAAUGAUGGAGAAUGGUGAAGGGAGAACAGGAGUGUGGAGAUGGAUGAAGAAUGGUGGAGAGUGAGAAAAUGGUCGUUUUGGAAGAAUGAAGAGAAAUGGUGGAGGAGCUUGAAUGAAGGUGGAGAAGCUUGUUAUAUAGAUCUUCUCAGGUUAGUUCAAUCUCUGACUUUUGUUGAAACUCAGUUAAAUUCUGUUAUAGGAUUUGUUAGGGAUUGUAACUGAUUUUGGAUGUUAGUUAGGGUUGGUUAGAGACUGUUAGUAACAGUUAGGGAUUAUGUUACAAAUCUGUUUUGACAGUUAAAGUUUGGUUAUAUAUUGGUUUUAGGUGGUUAUGAAAGUUAGGUAUGGUUCUGUUACAUUCGGUUCGUGUCGGUUAUAGGCUGGUGAGAGGUUAUAAAAGUUAGUUUCUUUCUUUUCUGUUUGUAACUAAAUGGUUAGUUACUUCUGUUAGUAACUAUAGGUUAGAAUGAAAACAGGGACUAAUUGUGUAAGAGGCAACAAGUGUUUUUCUUCUGAUUUUUCUGAGAUUGGCUUCUGAUACUGGAUUUGCAGGUAUGCCGAUUUAUGAUGUCGAAGGUUAUUCUACCAUUUGUUUUUAAUUGUGAGUCUGUGCACCAAUUGAAAUGUGUAUGGUUGUUGACUUAUUUGAUGUUAUGAGUGCAGGGACAACAUGAAUUUAAAGGGAACACAUGAGAGAUUCAUCAUCCAAUGAAGAUCCUCAAUUCUUUACUAUUCUUAGGGAGCAGUACUUUAAUUUAUUUAUCUUUUAUGUAAUGGAUACUUUUUGUAACAUCUUAUUGCAUUGUAAAUCCCUGUUGAAAA
Vicia villosa (hairy vetch) is the source of this 1642-nucleotide long non-coding RNA. RefSeq lists it as uncharacterized. The record is from RefSeq and is a predicted model, not a curated record. NCBI's taxonomy places the organism in Eukaryota, Viridiplantae, Streptophyta, Magnoliopsida, Fabales, Fabaceae. The transcript has 2 exons.